Molecule: ribosomal RNA, 602 nt
Filed under: uncultured bacterium
Lineage: Bacteria
Description: bacterial SSU rRNA
Rfam family: Bacterial small subunit ribosomal RNA
Source: RNAcentral
AGUUNGAUCAUGGCUCAGAUUGAACGCUGGCAGCAUGCCUUACACAUGCAAGUCGAACGGCAGCACGGGCUUCGGUCUGGUGGCGAGUGGCGAACGGGUGAGUAAUGCAUCGGAACGUACCCGGGAGUGGGGGAUAACUAUCCGAAAGGAUAGCUAAUACCGCAUAUUCUGUGCGCAGGAAAGCAGGGGAUCUUCGGACCUUGUGCUCCCGGAGCGGCCGAUGUCAGAUUAGCUAGUUGGUGGGGUAAAGGCCUACCAAGGCGACGAUCUGUAGCGGGUCUGAGAGGAUGAUCCGCCACACUGGAACUGAGACACGGUCCAGACUCCUACGGGAGGCAGCAGUGGGGAAUUUUGGACAAUGGGGGCAACCCUGAUCCAGCCAUGCCGCGUGAGUGAAGAAGGCCUUCGGGUUGUAAAGCUCUUUCGGCCGGGAAGAAAUCGCGUUGGCUAAUACCCAGCGUGGAUGACGGUACCGGAAUAAGAAGCACCGGCUAACUACGUGCCAGCAGCCGCGGUAAUACGUAGGGUGCGAGCGUUAAUCGGAAUUACUGGGCGUAAAGCGUGCGCAGGCGGUUUUUUAAGAUAGGCGUGAAAUCCCCGGG